UGAAGGGUCUGGACUAGGGGUGGCAAUUCAGCUCGCUAUUCGCAAGCCAGCUCGUGUUCGGCUCGAAAUGAGCUCGAAAUCGAAUCGCUCGUUUAGUAAACGAGCCGAGCACGAGCUCGGGUUAGCUCGCUCGUGUUCGACUCGAUAACAGCUCGAAUACAUAUAUUUUAUAUUUAUAUAAUUUAUUUAAUUUAUAUUUAUAUAUAUAAAUAAACAAUUAUAUAUAUAAUAUAUAUUUUUAUUAUUUAAUUUUUAGCAAAAUAAAAAUAUAAAGGCGAGCUCAAUAAUAAAAAGACUUAUUUAUAUGUAAAGUUUCAAAUAUUAGAUAAAGGAUAAGAUUUUAUAAAUUUAUUUUUUAUACAUAUUCAAUCUAAUCUUUUUAACUUAUUGUUCGUCGGCCAGCUCGUGAGCCAGCUCGUGUUUGGCUCGUUUAUUAACGAGCCGAACACGAGUUGAAUUUUUCAGCUCGAUAUUUUAAUGAGCCAGCUCGUGCUCGGCUCGUUGACACCCCUAGAUAGCUAAGACUAUCUAGUUAUAGUUGUUCGUUUGAGCAUUGCAAAAAAUGAAUGAGCCAGCUCAGCUCGUAUUCGGCUC
RNAcentral lists this long non-coding RNA (594 nucleotides) under Ananas comosus (pineapple). Its description in RNAcentral is "long non-coding RNA (ACOM_LNC013686)". Lineage: Eukaryota; Viridiplantae; Streptophyta; Magnoliopsida; Poales; Bromeliaceae. The record is from RNAcentral.